RNAcentral lists this ribosomal RNA (611 nucleotides) under uncultured bacterium. RNAcentral's name for it is "bacterial SSU rRNA". It matches the Rfam family "Bacterial small subunit ribosomal RNA", at positions 338 to 951 of the family's 1533-position model. The record is from RNAcentral.
CCUACGGGAGGCAGCAGUAAGGAAUAUUGGUCAAUGGACGCAAGUCUGAACCAGCCAUGCCGCGUGAAGGAUGAAUGCCCUCUGGGUUGUAAACUUCUUUUAUAGGGGACGAAAAAGGGUCUUUUAGAUCAACUGACGGUACCCUAGGAAUAAGCACCGGCUAACUCCGUGCCAGCAGCCGCGGUAAUACGGAGGGUGCAAGCGUUAUCCGGAUUUACUGGGUUUAAAGGGUGCGUAGGUGGGUUGGUAAGUCAGCGGUGAAAUCUUCGAGCUUAACUCGGAAACUGCCAUUGAUACUAUCAGCCUUGAAUAUCCUGGAGGUGAGCGGAAUAUGUCAUGUAGCGGUGAAAUGCUUAGAUAUGACAUAGAACACCAAUUGCGAAGGCAGCUCACUACGGGAUUAUUGACACUGAGGCACGAAAGCGUGGGGAUCAAACAGGAUUAGAUACCCUGGUAGUCCACGCCCUAAACGAUGGAUACUCGACAUUUGCGAUAUACAGUAAGUGUCUGAGCGAAAGCAUUAAGUAUCCCACCUGGGAAGUACGAUCGCAAGAUUGAAACCUGAAAGAAUUGACGGNGNGAGAGNGACGAGACGACGACGAGGGAGGAGG